RNAcentral lists this ribosomal RNA (253 nucleotides) under uncultured bacterium. Its description in RNAcentral is "partial 16S ribosomal RNA". It matches the Rfam family "Bacterial small subunit ribosomal RNA", at positions 524 to 776 of the family's 1533-position model. The record is from RNAcentral.
UACGAAGGGGGCAAGCGUUACUCGGAAUUACUGGGCGUAAAGCGUGCGUAGGUGGUGAGUUAAGUCUGUCGUGAAAUCCCCGGGCUUAACCUGGGAACUGCGCUUGUAACUGGCAAGCUUGAGUGUGGCAGAGGGGGGUGGAAUUCCACGUGUAGCAGUGAAAUGCGUAGAGAUGUGGAGGAACACCGAUGGCGAAGGCAGCCCCCUGGGCUAACACUGACGCUCAUGCACGAAAGCGUGGGGAGCAAACAGG